RNAcentral lists this ribosomal RNA (404 nucleotides) under Actinomycetes bacterium. RNAcentral's name for it is "Actinobacteria bacterium partial 16S ribosomal RNA". It matches the Rfam family "Bacterial small subunit ribosomal RNA", at positions 355 to 776 of the family's 1533-position model. The record is from RNAcentral. Lineage: Bacteria; Bacillati; Actinomycetota; Actinomycetes.
UGGGGAAUAUUGGACAAUGGGCGCAAGCCUGAUCCAGCCAUGCCGCGUGAGUGAUGAAGGCCCUAGGGUUGUAAAGCUCUUUCACCGGUGAAGAUAAUGACGGUAACCGGAGAAGAAGCCCCGGCUAACUUCGUGCCAGCAGCCGCGGUAAUACGAAGGGGGCUAGCGUUGUUCGGAUUUACUAGGCGUAAAGCGCACGUAGGCGGACUUUUAAGUCAGGGGUGAAAUCCCGGGGCUCAACCCCGGAACUGCCUUUGAUACUGGAAGUCGUGAGUAUGGUAGAGGUGAGUGGAAUUCCGAGUGUAGAGGUGAAAUUCGUAGAUAUUCGGAGGAACACCAGUGGCGAAGGCGGCUCACUGGACCAUUACUGACGCUGAGGUGCGAAAGCGUGGGGAGCAAACAGG